GAAGGUAUAGCUCAGUGUUAGAGCGUGUGCUUAGCAUGCACUCGGUUCUGGGUUCAAUCCCCAGAACUUCCA
This 72-nucleotide transfer RNA is filed under the name Camelus ferus (Wild Bactrian camel). It matches the Rfam family "tRNA". From Rfam's summary of the family: Transfer RNA (tRNA) molecules are approximately 80 nucleotides in length. Lineage: Eukaryota; Metazoa; Chordata; Mammalia; Artiodactyla; Camelidae. The record is from Rfam by way of RNAcentral.